CAUGCAGUCGAACGAGCUUCCGUUGAAUGACGUGCUUGCACUGCAUUUCAACAAUGAAGCGAGUGGCGAACUGGUGAGUAACACGUGGGUAACUUGCCCAGAAGCGGGGAUAACACUUGGAAACAGGUGCUAAUACCGUAUAACAACGAAACCGCAUGGUUUCUGUUUGAAAGGUGGUUUCGGCUAUCACUUCUGGAUGGACCCGCGGCGUAUUAGUUAGUUGGUGAGGUAAAGGCCCACCAAGACAUGUACGUAGCCACCUGAGAGGGUAAUCGCACAUUGGGACUGAAACGGCCCAAACUCCUACGGGAGGCAGCAGUAGGGAAUCUUCCACAAUGGACGAAAGUCUGAUGGAGCAAUGCCGCGUGAGUGAAGAAGGGUUUCGGCUCGUAAAACUCUGUUGUUAAAGAAGAACACUCUUGAGAGUAACUGUUCAGGAGUUGACGGUAUUUAACCAGAAAGCCACGGCUAACUACGUGCCAGCAGCCGCGGUAAUACGUAGGUGGCAAGCGUUGUCCGGAUUUAUUGGGCGUAAAGCGAGCGCAGGCGGUUUCUUAAGUCUGAUGUGAAAGCCUUCGGCUUAACCGGAGAAGUGCAUCGGAAACUGGGAGACUUGAGUGCAGAAGAGGACAGUGGAACUCCAUGUGUAGCGGUGGAAUGCGUAGAUAUAUGGAAGAACACCAGUGGCGAAGGCGGCUGUCUAGUCUGUAACUGACGCUGAGGCUCGAAAGCAUGGGUAGCAAACAGGAUUAAUACCCUGGUAGUCCAUGCCGUAAACAUGAUGCUAGGUGUUGGAGGGUUUCCCCCUUCAUGCCCACUAACCAUUAACACUCCCCUGGGGAUACACCCAGGUUGAAACUCAAAGGAAUUGACGGGCCCCCACAACUGGACAUGUGGUUUAAUUC
This 905-nucleotide ribosomal RNA is filed under the name Levilactobacillus brevis. RNAcentral's name for it is "bacterial SSU rRNA". It matches the Rfam family "Bacterial small subunit ribosomal RNA", at positions 54 to 952 of the family's 1533-position model. Lineage: Bacteria; Bacillati; Bacillota; Bacilli; Lactobacillales; Lactobacillaceae. The record is from RNAcentral.